UACAGAGGUCUCAAGCGUUGUUCGGAUUCAUUGGGCGUAAAGGGUGCGUAGGUGGCGCCGUAAGUCGGGGUGUGAAAUUUCGGAGCUUAACUCCGAAACUGCAUUCGAUACUGCGGUGCUUGAGGACUGGAGAGGAGACUGGAAUUCAUGGUGUAGCAGUGAAAUGCGUAGAGAUGUGGAGGAACACGAUGACGGAGCACCCUGGGUCAAGUUGAUCG
RNAcentral lists this ribosomal RNA (218 nucleotides) under uncultured bacterium. RNAcentral's name for it is "partial 16S ribosomal RNA". It matches the Rfam family "Bacterial small subunit ribosomal RNA", at positions 524 to 739 of the family's 1533-position model. The record is from RNAcentral.